This is a long non-coding RNA of Oncorhynchus kisutch (coho salmon), 1599 nucleotides long. RefSeq lists it as uncharacterized. NCBI's taxonomy places the organism in Eukaryota, Metazoa, Chordata, Actinopteri, Salmoniformes, Salmonidae. The record is from RefSeq and is a predicted model, not a curated record. The transcript is spliced from 5 exons.
GCCCGCUACGCCACCUGGAUGUAUCUACCCACUCACAUUCACUUAUAGCAUCAAACAAAAAACCAUGGAUAAAGUCAAGAGGAAGUAGUGGAGUGAGGUGGACAUGUUCCAGGCCAUGGAGGACUAAGGGGCAGGGAUGGCUAUCCGCUGGGCUGCCAAGGGUGCACGAUGUAUCUCGGCAGACUCUGUGCGGCCGGGUGACAGAAUGGUUGUCGCAGUGGACCACCCACAUUGCUUGCACCAGAGGAUGAAAAUGGGUUCCCCUUCACCAAACAUAAACUGAUGAAAUAUGCCAACAAAAUAUGCAGGUUUCGGCACCCAGGGGAGACAAUCCCACCACUGGGGAAGAGGUGGUGGAAAAUGUUUAGGGGGAGGCACAGGAACCUAAGCAUGAGGAGGCCGGACACCCUGGACAGGGGAGAGCUGAGUGUGCCACCCGUCCAAUGACAGACACCUUCUUUGCUUCUUAUGGGAAUCACUUGGAGGAGAGUGGGUUGAGGGGAAAACCCAGACAAAUCUAUCACUGAGAUGAGUCUGGGCUUCGUAGCGACCAGAGCAGGCACAAACUGCUGGCUCCCCGGGAUGCAAAACACGUGUACCAGUAGGCUCCGGGGACCAAGGAGCACAUCACAGAGCUGGCCUGCUUCAACACAGCUGGAGAGGACAUCCCCAUGUUUAUCAUCUACCUCAAGUGAUUUCCCAGCGGCCACUACACACUGGGAGCCCCCCCCCCUCCCCAAGCCUUAUAUGGAUGGUCCAACAGUGGCUACAUUGACAGGGACCUGUUCAGGAAGUGGCUUCAGCACUCGCCCGCUCCUUCUCCUCUCCGAUGGGCACAAGUACCACAUGGACCCGGAGGUGCUCACGGCGACACUAAGGGAAAGGGUUAUACUUCUUUGUCUUACACCACACUGCACCCAUAUCAUGCAGCCGCUGGACGUGGCAUACUUUGAUAGCAAAGGACCUGAGGCACAUCCUUACCGUCCUGAAGUAUUGACCAGACCGAUACAGAAGACUCCCUCACCGUGGAGGAAUACACUCGCCAAUGGCAGGAGAGGGGUUAGAAGGACAGGGCCAAGGCAGAGGAGAAAGAGCGUCAGGCAGCCCUCAAAACACAGAGGGCAUAGGAGAGUGCUGCCAUGGAUGAGAUGAUCAACACCAUCACAUCUGCUGGUCCCCCAGCUGGAACCACUUCUGUUAGCUGCAUCACCUGUGCCUCCCAGUAUGCAACACCUGUAGGAGCCGCUGGAGCCCCCAGCUACAGAAGAAGGCCACAUAGCUGCUCUCUCGGCCACACCAUCGUUGGCCCCUGAACCCAACCACUAGCAACACCAGCUCCUCCAAGCCAUUGUCAGUGGAGAUGGAUGGAGGAUGGAGGUUGAGAUGUAAUUGUUUGUUUGUCUUGUUUGUUUUCAUAUGCAAUGAUUUAUUUGUAAAACUAUAUAUUACAUGUCUAAAAUAUUAGGUUAAAUAUAUAUAUAUAUAUUUAACCUAUCUUGUGUAUUUAUUCCAUUACUUUCCAAGUGCAUCUCUGCAACACAAACUUUUCAUUGUUUAUGUCAAUGCACAUCAAUGAAAUUAAAGUAUAAUUUGAUGUAA